Molecule: long non-coding RNA, 377 nt
Filed under: Nicotiana benthamiana
Lineage: Eukaryota; Viridiplantae; Streptophyta; Magnoliopsida; Solanales; Solanaceae
Description: long non-coding RNA (NBEN_LNC040789)
Source: RNAcentral
UACUAAAAUACUGCCUAACAUUGACUGAAUGAACUAGUGACUAUACCUUUCUAGGCUCUAGGUGCUGGAUGUAGCCAUGGUAGGUGGGGGCUCUACCAAAUUCCCCCUCGAGUAUACACGCUACUGAAGGGAGGAUUCCAUCCUUGACGACUACCAUAAAUGGAUUCAACUAUUUUGACCCAAGCUGCUUCUUCGUCACUAUGAAAUAUCCGCAACCAUUUGAACAUCAUACUCCUAUUAUGAAGUCUCAAGUUCUUGGCACCUAGCCUCCUGCUAUUUUGUCGCUAAGAACUGUCUGCCAAUUGACUAAGUGAAUCUUUUUACAUUCAUUAUUUCCAUUCCAUAGAAACUUAUUCCUCAUGGAGUUCAGUUUCUUU